Molecule: long non-coding RNA, 1198 nt
Filed under: Cricetulus griseus (Chinese hamster)
Lineage: Eukaryota; Metazoa; Chordata; Mammalia; Rodentia; Cricetidae
Description: lncRNA (ENSCGRG00015041281.1)
Source: RNAcentral
GGAAAGUGGUGUGCCCUUACCCCUCCCUUUCCCCCACAAACUCGGAAAAAGUCGCACCUCUCAAGCAUUGUUGAGAAGAUUGGAUUCCCAGAGAGACUCCAACUGUCUGGAAACUAAAAACCGAGACCACCAAGAGGGAAAUUUAAAGGAAAGCAAGAAACCAUGGAGAGAGGGACCGGCAACGGGAAAAAUUGUCCACCACUUUUGAAGGACGUGUGGAAUUUUGCAUAGUUCCCACAACACAUUCUGACUUUUCUCUAUGUACUUCCUAGAACCCAUUUUCCGUGUUCGUAUUUUGAAGAUUUUUGUUUUGUUUGCAUAUUCCUUCCUAGAUGGGUGGACAGAUUCGCCGUUCCUGUAGAACUGGAAACCUCUGUAAGAGCCUGAGUGACAAUCGAUGGAUGCAAUCAGGUGUUGUACACUUUGGUUUCUGAACUGAAUUAUGGCCUCUUAGACUCUGCAUUUACAAAACCGGAACCUUAAAGUGCCAUCUCGGGACUGUCAGCUAUCCUCACCACUGUGCGGUUCCUUCAAGUCUUCAGGGAAAAUCUAGAAUCUCGUAUUAGGGUGUAGUCUGUAGUUCGCCUUGCCUUCCCCAUCCUGCGACCCUUGGCUAAGAAUUUUAGUCCUUCCCUGGGAUCUCACUAGCGUCUUCUCAAACAUGCCUCCAAAUACAUUUUCCCAACCUUAUGGGGCAAGGUUUGGUUUCAAAGAAGUCCACGUUCUGCUCCCCUACCCCAGCCCAGGCAAGGGAGGGGCACGGAUUUCUCUUCCAUGCCUGUCUUUUAGGUUAGUCGCAAAUGCAUGACUAGAGAAUCUGAGAUUGAGAGAGGUCUGGAGUUGUGUUGGCCACAGGAUUCAAAUUGUGAAUAUACCUGUGGUCUUGGCCCUUCGAGAGCCUGGGCUGCUCCUAGAAACGAAGGCCAAGUGGCAACACCUGGGUCAGACAGAGCUCGGCCUCCCCUCCCCCAGCCCUCGCUGGGUGGGAAGAGUUUAAAGCCACAGGUAUUGCGCCCUUUUGAUGCUUCAUAAAAAGACCUUCUUUGAACACCAGGCGUCCUUUUUACUUAUUUAUUUUUUUCUCGGUAAGGAAAGUAAACAUCUUGCUUAUAUUUCCAUAGUGGUCAGGCUCUAAUUAUGCAUGAUUCCAGCAACAUGACUGCCGCAGCCGGAAGGCGCCGGCCUCAGAAGAUGCCUG